AUGAGGUUCCCUGCUCAGCUCCUGGGGCUGCUGAUGUUCUGGAUCUCUGGAUCCAGUGGGGAUGUUGUGUUGACUCAGACUCCACUCACCCUGCCUGUCACUCCUGGAGAGCCGGCCUCCAUCUCCUGUAGGGCUAGUCAGAGCCUCCUACAUAGUAAUGGAUACACCUAUUUGAGUUGGUUUCUACAGAAGCCAGGCCAGGCUCCUCAACACCUGAUCUAUUUGGUUUCCAACCGGGGUUCUGGAGUCCCAGACAGGUUCAGUGGCAGUGGGUCAGGGACAGAUUUCACACUCAAAAUCAGCAGGGUGGAGGCUGAGGAUAUUGGGGUUUAUUACUGCAUGCAAGCUACACAUGCUCCACCCACAGUGAUACAGCCCCUAACAUAA
Molecule: non-coding RNA, 387 nt
Organism: Cynocephalus volans (Philippine flying lemur)
Lineage: Eukaryota; Metazoa; Chordata; Mammalia; Dermoptera; Cynocephalidae
Source: the annotation of a RefSeq genome assembly